Molecule: ribosomal RNA, 252 nt
Filed under: uncultured bacterium
Lineage: Bacteria
Description: partial 16S ribosomal RNA
Rfam family: Bacterial small subunit ribosomal RNA
Source: RNAcentral
UACGGAGGAUGCGAGCGUUAUCCGGAUUUAUUGGGUUUAAAGGGUGCGUAGGCGGUCCGUUAAGUCAGCGGUAAAAUUGCGGGGCUCAACCCCGUCGAGCCGUUGAAACUGUCAGACUUGAGUUGGCGAGAAGUACGCGGAAUGCGCGGUGUAGCGGUGAAAUGCAUAGAUAUCGCGCAGAACUCCGAUUGCGAAGGCAGCGUACCGGCGCCACACUGACGCUGAGGCACGAAAGCGUGGGGAUCGAACUGG